This 497-nucleotide ribosomal RNA is filed under the name uncultured bacterium. Its description in RNAcentral is "partial 16S ribosomal RNA". It matches the Rfam family "Bacterial small subunit ribosomal RNA", at positions 28 to 507 of the family's 1533-position model. The record is from RNAcentral.
GAUGAACGCUGGCGGCGUGCCUAAUACAUGCAAGUCGAGCGAACAGACGAGGAGCUUGCUCCUCUGACGUUAGCGGCGGACGGGUGAGUAACACGUGGAUAACCUACCUAUAAGACUGGGAUAACUUCGGGAAACCGGAGCUAAUACCGGAUAAUAUAUUGAACCGCAUGGUUCAAUAGUGAAAGACGGUUUUGCUGUCACUUAUAGAUGGAUCCGCGCCGCAUUAGCUAGUUGGUAAGGUAACGGCUUACCAAGGCGACGAUGCGUAGCCGACCUGAGAGGGUGAUCGGCCACACUGGAACUGAGACACGGCCCAGACUCCUACGGGAGGAAGCAGUAGGGAAUCUUACGCAAUGGGCGAAAGCGUGACGGAGCAACGCCGCGUGAGGGAUGAAGGUCUUCGGAUCGUAAAGCUCUGUUAUUAGGGAAGAACAAAUGUGUAAGUAACUAUGCACGUCUUGACGGUACCGAAUCAGAAAGCCACGGCUAACUACGUG